UAAGGAAUAUUGGACAAUGGAGGCAACUCUGAUCCAGCCAUGCCGCGUGAAGGAAUAAGGCCCUAUGGGUUGUAAACUUCUUUUAGACGGGACAAAACCCCUUUACGUGUAAAGGGUUGAUGGUACUGUCAGAAUAAGCAUCGGCUAACUUCGUGCCAGCAGCCGCGGUAAUACGAAGGAUGCAAGCGUUAUCCGGAAUUAUUGGGUUUAAAGGGUGCGUAGGCGGACUAAUAAGUCAGUGGUGAAAGCCUGCAGCUUAACUGCAGAAUUGCCAUUGAUACUGUUAGCCUUGAGUACAGUUGAGGUAGGCGGAAUGUGUCAUGUAGCGGUGAAAUGCUUAGAUAUGACACAGAACACCGAUUGCGAAGGCAGCUUGCUAAGCUGUAACUGACGCUGAGGCACGAAAGCGUGGGGAGCAAACA
RNAcentral lists this ribosomal RNA (422 nucleotides) under uncultured bacterium. RNAcentral's name for it is "bacterial SSU rRNA". It matches the Rfam family "Bacterial small subunit ribosomal RNA", at positions 355 to 774 of the family's 1533-position model. The record is from RNAcentral.